RNAcentral lists this ribosomal RNA (592 nucleotides) under uncultured bacterium. Its description in RNAcentral is "bacterial SSU rRNA". It matches the Rfam family "Bacterial small subunit ribosomal RNA", at positions 338 to 946 of the family's 1533-position model. The record is from RNAcentral.
CCUACGGGAGGCAGCAGUGGGGAAUAUUGGACAAUGGGCGAAAGCCUGAUCCAGCAAUGCCGCGUGAGUGAUGAAGGCCUUAGGGUUGUAAAGCUCUUUUACCCGGGAUGAUAAUGACAGUACCGGGAGAAUAAGCUCCGGCUAACUCCGUGCCAGCAGCCGCGGUAAUACGGAGGGAGCUAGCGUUAUUCGGAAUUACUGGGCGUAAAGCGCACGUAGGCGGCUUUGUAAGUAAGAGGUGAAAGCCUGGUGCUCAACACCAGAACUGCCUUUUAGACUGCAUCGCUUGAAUCCAGGAGAGGUGAGUGGAAUUCCGAGUGUAGAGGUGAAAUUCGUAGAUAUUCGGAAGAACACCAGUGGCGAAGGCGGCUCACUGGACUGGUAUUGACGCUGAGGUGCGAAAGCGUGGGGAGCAAACAGGAUUAGGAUACCCUGGUAGUCCACGCCGUAAACGAUGAUAACUAGCUGUCGGGGCUCUUAGAGCUUCGGUGGCGCAGCUAACGCAUUAAGUUAUCCGCCUGGGGAUACGGCCGNAAGGUUAAAACUCAAAUGAAUUGACGGCUGAGACGNGCGAGACGACGACGAGGGAGAG